CCUACGGGAGACUGCAGUGAGGAAUAUUGGUCAAUGGCCGCAGGGCUGAACCAGCCAAGUCGCGUGAGGGAUGACGGUCCUAUGGAUUGUAAACCUCUUUUGUCAGGGAGCAAAGGGCGCCACGUGUGGCGCUUUGCGAGUACCUGAAGAAAAAGCAUCGGCUAACUCCGUGCCAGCAGCCGCGGUAAUACGGAGGAUGCGAGCGUUAUCCGGAUUUAUUGGGUUAAAAGGGUGCGCAGGCGGAAUGUCAAGUCAGCGGUAAAAUUUCGGGGCUCAACCCCGUCGUGCCGUUGAAACUGGCGUUCUUGAGUGAGCGAGAAGUAUGCGGAAUGCGUGGUGUAGCGGUGAAAUGCAUAGAGAUCACGCAGAACUCCGAUGGCGAAGGCAGCAUACCGGCGCUCAACUGACGCUCAUGCACGAAAGCGUGGGUAUCGAACAGGAUUAGAUACCCGAGUAGUC
This 459-nucleotide ribosomal RNA is filed under the name uncultured bacterium. Its description in RNAcentral is "partial 16S ribosomal RNA". It matches the Rfam family "Bacterial small subunit ribosomal RNA", at positions 338 to 795 of the family's 1533-position model. The record is from RNAcentral.